UGGGGAAUAUUGGACAAUGGGCGCAAGCCUGAUCCAGCCAUGCCGCGUGAGUGAUGACGGCCCUAGGGUUGUAAAGCUCUUUCACCGGUGAAGAUAAUGACGGUAACCGGAGAAGAAGCCCCGGCUAACUUCGUGCCAGCAGCCGCGGUAAUACGAAGGGGGCUAGCGUUGUUCGGAUUUACUGGGCGUAAAGCGCACGUAGGCGGACUUUUAAGUCAGGGGUGAAAUCCCGGGGCUCAACCCCGGAACUGCCUUUGAUACUGGAAGGCUUGAGGAUGGUUGGGGUGAGUGGAAUUCCGGGGGGAGAGGGAGAAUUCGUAGAUAUUCGGAGGAAAACCAGUGGUGAAGGCGGCUCAAUGGACCAGUACUGACGCUGAGGUGCGAAAGCGUGGGGAGCAAACAGG
Molecule: ribosomal RNA, 404 nt
Filed under: Actinomycetes bacterium
Lineage: Bacteria; Bacillati; Actinomycetota; Actinomycetes
Description: Actinobacteria bacterium partial 16S ribosomal RNA
Rfam family: Bacterial small subunit ribosomal RNA
Source: RNAcentral